UCUGCUCCAUACAGUCAUUCAGGAAUUCAGAUUCCUUCCACAUUGUGAUUUAAGGAAUUCUCUUUUAGAGUUAGGGUUGUGUCUACUCAGAUCAGUGGAAAAUUGUAACAUGUGGUCAUAUGACCAAAAAUGAAGGUAGAUAUUGGUUCCGUCAUAGUCUGAUGAGUCUGAGAAUUAUACCCAUUAAAUUCUGAGUUCCCAGAGGAUAGAAACUCUGAAAUAACCUAGUACCAAGCCAAGCCCAGUGAAAGUGCUCAAUGAAUGCUAAAGGAAGAUACAAGAGAGUGGCUGAAUGAGAUUCCAGUGCUAAGGAAGUUCUACAUGGCAGGAGAUUUGAUUCCAUCAGUUUGGGUAGAGCGGCACAGAGAGAGACGGAUCCCUGACCCAAGACUUGAAAGAUGAGGAACAGAUCACCAGGUGGAGAAGAUGGAGAGGGAAGGAGUUGGAACCACAGGAGAGUCUGAACCAAGACGUUCCCUUAGUCUCUUCCUCCCUCCUGUGGAUGGAUAUAAGCCGAUACCCCUGCUAUUCCGGGCUCCUCCAUGACUAAAGGCAUCAGUAUCCACAGAGCCUUGCACACAUCUCAGCCCUUCAAUACAGGACCACAGAGCUGACUGCAGGUCUCUUUACAUAGUUUGAAGACCCAGAGAGAAGGAGGCUUACAACGUAACUCCAAAUUGAGGUCCUGAACCAGAGCAAGAAACUUCUAACUUCUCACUCAGCAGAAAAUGCUCAUAGUUUAGCUUCUCUCUCUCAAGGGAUCAGAGAAUCUGGGGGACAAGAGUGGGCUGCUAGGGUCAGAGACAAAGAGGUGGAUGGAAGGGUCCUUACUGUUACACAGAGCAGCAUGGGUCCUCGGAUGAUCCACCAGAUUUUCUUAUUCCCAUUUGUUGUCCAGCACCUAAGGUCAAAGAGCAGGCAAAAGAAGACUUAAAAACAAGAGGAGGUUGAAAGUCAAAGUCUCAUGCUGUCUAGAAGAAGGAUGCUUGCACUCAAGCCCUACUUCCCACCAAUCAUUCCCCCGAGGGGUGGGAGCUGCAGAAGAGAGAACUAAAAUCCCUUCCCGUUAGCACUGGUACCAUUUACUUUCCUUAACAUUAAAUUGCUCUUCAGUGGUAA
Non-coding RNA from Macaca mulatta (Rhesus monkey), 1119 nucleotides. Lineage: Eukaryota; Metazoa; Chordata; Mammalia; Primates; Cercopithecidae. The record is from RefSeq and is a predicted model, not a curated record.